AUUGAACGCUGGCGGCAUGCUUUACACAUGCAAGUCGAACGGUAACAGGCCGCAAGGUGCUGACGAGUGGCGAACGGGUGAGUAAUGCAUCGGAACGUGCCCAGUCGUGGGGGAUAACGCAGCGAAAGCUGCGCUAAUACCGCAUACGAUCUCUGGAUGAAAGCGGGGGACCGAAAGGCCUCGCGCGAUUGGAGCGGCCGAUGUCAGAUUAGGUAGUUGGUGGGGUAAAGGCCCACCAAGCCAACGAACUGUAGCUGGUCUGAGAGGACGACCAGCCACACUGGGACUGAGACACGGCCCAGACUCCUACGGGAGGCAGCAGCGGGGAAUUUUGGACAAUGGGCGCAAGCCUGAUCCAGCAAUGCCGCGUGCAGGAAGAAGGCCUUCGGGUUGUAAACUGCUUUUGUACGGAACGAAACGGUCCGGGCUAAUACCCUGGGCUAAUGACGGUACCGUAAGAAUAAGCACCGGCUAACUACGUGCCAGCCGCCGCCGUAA
Molecule: ribosomal RNA, 498 nt
Filed under: uncultured bacterium
Lineage: Bacteria
Description: partial 16S ribosomal RNA
Rfam family: Bacterial small subunit ribosomal RNA
Source: RNAcentral